Molecule: ribosomal RNA, 619 nt
Filed under: Salmonella enterica
Lineage: Bacteria; Pseudomonadati; Pseudomonadota; Gammaproteobacteria; Enterobacterales; Enterobacteriaceae
Description: bacterial SSU rRNA
Rfam family: Bacterial small subunit ribosomal RNA
Source: RNAcentral
AAAACUCAAAUGAAUUGACGGGGGCCCGCACAAGCGGUGGAGCAUGUGGUUUAAUUCGAUGCAACGCGAAGAACCUUACCUGGUCUUGACAUCCACAGAAGAAUCCAGAGAUGGAUUUGUGCCUUCGGGAACUGUGAGACAGGUGCUGCAUGGCUGUCGUCAGCUCGUGUUGUGAAAUGUUGGGUUAAGUCCCGCAACGAGCGCAACCCUUAUCCUUUGUUGCCAGCGGUCCGGCCGGGAACUCAAAGGAGACUGCCAGUGAUAAACUGGAGGAAGGUGGGGAUGACGUCAAGUCAUCAUGGCCCUUACGACCAGGGCUACACACGUGCUACAAUGGCGCAUACAAAGAGAAGCGACCUCGCGAGAGCAAGCGGACCUCAUAAAGUGCGUCGUAGUCCGGAUUGGAGUCUGCAACUCGACUCCAUGAAGUCGGAAUCGCUAGUAAUCGUGGAUCAGAAUGCCACGGUGAAUACGUUCCCGGGCCUUGUACACACCGCCCGUCACACCAUGGGAGUGGGUUGCAAAAGAAGUAGGUAGCUUAACCUUCGGGAGGGCGCUUACCACUUUGUGAUUCAUGACUGGGGUGAAGUCGUAACAAGGUAACCGUAGGGGAACCUGC